Molecule: transfer RNA, 69 nt
Filed under: Ictidomys tridecemlineatus (thirteen-lined ground squirrel)
Lineage: Eukaryota; Metazoa; Chordata; Mammalia; Rodentia; Sciuridae
Also listed under: 1 other name
Description: Spermophilus tridecemlineatus (thirteen-lined ground squirrel) tRNA
Rfam family: tRNA
About the family: Transfer RNA (tRNA) molecules are approximately 80 nucleotides in length. Their secondary structure includes four short double-helical elements and three loops (D, anti-codon, and T loops). Further hydrogen bonds mediate the characteristic L-shaped molecular structure. tRNAs have two regions of fundamental functional importance: the anti-codon, which is responsible for specific mRNA codon recognition, and the 3' end, to which the tRNAs corresponding amino acid is attached (by aminoacyl-tRNA synthetases). tRNAs cope with the degeneracy of the genetic code in two manners: having more than one tRNA (with a specific anti-codon) for a particular amino acid; and 'wobble' base-pairing, i.e. permitting non-standard base-pairing at the 3rd anti-codon position.
Source: Rfam by way of RNAcentral
GGGGUUGUAGCUCAGUGGUAGAGCGCUUGCCUCGCAUGUAUGAGGCACUGGGUUCAAUCCUCAGCACCA